AGAGCGAACGCUGGCGGCAGGCCUAACACAUGCAAGUCGAGCGCCGUAGCAAUACGGAGCGGCAGACGGGAGAGUAACACGUGGGAACGUGCCCUUUGGUUCGGAACAACACAGGGAAACUUGUGCUAAUACCGGAUAAGCCCUUACGGGGAAAGAUUUAUCGCCAAAAGGAUCGGCCCGCGUCUGAUUAGCUAGUUGGUGAGGUAACGGCUCACCAAGGCGACGAUCAGUAGCUGGUCUGAGAGGAUGAUCAGCCUCACUGGGACUGAGACACGGCCCAGACUCCUACGGGAGGCAGCAGUGGGGAAUAUUGGACAAUGGGCGCAAGCCUGAUCCAGCCAUGCCGCGUGGAUGAUGAAGGCCCUAGGGUUGUAAAGUCCUUUCGGCGGGGAAGAUAAUGACGGUACCCGCAGAAGAAGCCCCGGCUAACUUCGUGCCAGCAGCCGC
Molecule: ribosomal RNA, 447 nt
Filed under: uncultured bacterium
Lineage: Bacteria
Description: SSU rRNA
Rfam family: Bacterial small subunit ribosomal RNA
Source: RNAcentral